GACGAACGCUGGCGGCGUGCCUAAUACAUGCAAGUCGAGCGAAGUUUUUCUGGUGCUUGCACCGGAAAAACUUAGCGGCGAACGGGUGAGUAACACGUAAAGAACCUGCCUCAUAGACUGGGACAACUAUUGGAAACGAUAGCUAAUACCGGAUAACAGCAUUAACUGCAUGGUUGAUGUUUAAAAGUUGGUUUUGCUAACACUAUGAGAUGGCUUUGCGGUGCAUUAGCUAGUUGGUGGGGUAAAGGCCUACCAAGGCGACGAUGCAUAGCCGACCUGAGAGGGUGAUCGGCCACACUGGGACUGAGACACGGCCCAGACUCCUACGGGAGGCAGCAGUAGGGAAUCUUCCGCAAUGGGCGAAAGCCUGACGGAGCAACGCCGCGUGAGUGAAGAAGGAUUUCGGUUCGUAAAGCUCUGUUGUUAGGGAAGAAUGAUUGUGUAGUAAACUAUACAC
This 457-nucleotide ribosomal RNA is filed under the name Gemella haemolysans. RNAcentral's name for it is "bacterial SSU rRNA". It matches the Rfam family "Bacterial small subunit ribosomal RNA", at positions 28 to 473 of the family's 1533-position model. Lineage: Bacteria; Bacillati; Bacillota; Bacilli; Caryophanales; Gemellaceae. The record is from RNAcentral.